CCCUUAGAUGUCCGGGGCCGCACGCGCGCUACACUGAAGGAAUCAGCGUGGCUUUCUCCCUGACCCGAAAGGGUUGGGAAACCCGUUGAAUCUCCUUCGUGAUAGGGAUUGGGGCUUGAAAUUUUUCCCCAUGAACGAGGAAUUCCCAGUAAGCGCGAGUCAUAAGCUCGCGUUGAUUACGUCCCUGCCCUUUGUACACACCGCCCGUCGCUACUACCGAUUGAACGGUUUAGUGAGGGCCUCGGAUUGGUCUCGGCCCGCUCUUUACCGGGCGGCGCCGUUGGUCGAGAAGACGCUCGAACUUGAUCGUUUAGAGGAAGUAAAAGUCGUAACA
Molecule: ribosomal RNA, 334 nt
Filed under: uncultured eukaryote
Lineage: Eukaryota
Description: partial 18S ribosomal RNA
Rfam family: Eukaryotic small subunit ribosomal RNA
Source: RNAcentral